UACAGAGGGUGCGAGCGUUAAUCGGAAUUACUGGGCGUAAAGCGCACGUAGGCGGCUUGGUAUGUCGGGUGUGAAAUCCCCGGGCUCAACCUGGGAACUGCAUCCGAAACUGCCUUGCUCGAGUAUGGGAGAGGGAAGUGGAAUUUCCGGUGUAGCGGUGAAAUGCGUAGAUAUCAAGAGGAACACCUGAGGUGAAGACGGGUUGCUGGGCUGAUACUGACGCUGAGGCGCGAAAGCUAGGGUAGCAAACGGG
This 253-nucleotide ribosomal RNA is filed under the name uncultured bacterium. Its description in RNAcentral is "partial 16S ribosomal RNA". It matches the Rfam family "Bacterial small subunit ribosomal RNA", at positions 524 to 776 of the family's 1533-position model. The record is from RNAcentral.